This 253-nucleotide ribosomal RNA is filed under the name uncultured bacterium. Its description in RNAcentral is "partial 16S ribosomal RNA". It matches the Rfam family "Bacterial small subunit ribosomal RNA", at positions 524 to 776 of the family's 1533-position model. The record is from RNAcentral.
UACAGAGGUCUCAAGCGUUGUUCGGAUUCAUUGGGCGUAAAGGGUGCGUAGGCGGCGAGGCAAGUCUGGUGUGAAAUCCCGGGGCUCAACCCCGGAACUGCACUGGAUACUGCUUUGCUAGAGUACUGGAGAGGGAACUGGAAUUUACGGUGUAGCAGUGAAAUGCGUAGAUAUCGUAAGGAAGACCAGUGGCGAAGGCGGGUCUCUGGACAGUUCCUGACGCUGAGGCACGAAGGUCAGGGGAGCAAACGGG